This 427-nucleotide ribosomal RNA is filed under the name uncultured beta proteobacterium. RNAcentral's name for it is "bacterial SSU rRNA". It matches the Rfam family "Bacterial small subunit ribosomal RNA", at positions 355 to 774 of the family's 1533-position model. The record is from RNAcentral. Lineage: Bacteria; Pseudomonadati; Pseudomonadota; Betaproteobacteria.
UGGGGAAUUUUGGACAAUGGGCGAAAGCCUGAUCCAGCCAUGCCGCGUGAGUGAAGAAGGCCUUCGGGUUGUAAAGCUCUUUUAGUCGGAAAGAAAGAGUUGCAAUGAAUAAUUGUGAUUUAUGACGGUACCGACAGAAAAAGCACCGGCUAACUACGUGCCAGCAGCCGCGGUAAUACGUAGGGUGCGAGCGUUAAUCGGAAUUACUGGGCGUAAAGGGUGCGCAGGCGGUCUUGCAAGUCAGAUGUGAAAGCCCCGGGCUUAACCUGGGAAUUGCGUUUGAAACUACAAGGCUAGAGUGCAGCAGAGGGGAGUGGAAUUCCAUGUGUAGCAGUGAAAUGCGUAGAGAUGUGGAAGAACACCGAUGGCGAAGGCAGCUCCCUGGGUUGACACUGGCGCUCAUGCACGAAAGCGUGGGGAGCAAACA